GCCGGGUGUGGUGGCACAUGCCUGUAGUCCCAGGUAAUUGGGAGGCUGAGGUGGGAGGAUCACUUGAGCCUAGGAGGUUGAGGCUGCAGGGAGCCACUGCACUCUAGCCUGGGCAACAAAGUGAAACCCCAUCUCAA
This is an unclassified non-coding RNA of Papio anubis (olive baboon), 137 nucleotides long. It matches the Rfam family "Metazoan signal recognition particle RNA". Rfam says of the family: The signal recognition particle (SRP) is a universally conserved ribonucleoprotein. It is involved in the co-translational targeting of proteins to membranes. The record is from Ensembl. Lineage: Eukaryota; Metazoa; Chordata; Mammalia; Primates; Cercopithecidae.